UACAGAGGGUGCAAGCGUUAAUCGGAAUUACUGGGCGUAAAGCGCACGUAGGCGGUUUUUUAAGUCAGAUGUGAAAGCCCCGGGCUCAACCUGGGAAUUGCAUUUGAAACUGGGGAACAAGAGUGUGUGAGAGGGGGGUAGAAUUCCAAGUGUAGCGGUGAAAUGCGUAGAGAUUUGGAGGAAUACCAGUGGCGAAGGCGGCCCCCUGGCACAACACUGACGCUCAGGUGCGAAAGCGUGGGGAGCAAACAGG
This 253-nucleotide ribosomal RNA is filed under the name uncultured bacterium. RNAcentral's name for it is "partial 16S ribosomal RNA". It matches the Rfam family "Bacterial small subunit ribosomal RNA", at positions 524 to 776 of the family's 1533-position model. The record is from RNAcentral.